Molecule: ribosomal RNA, 463 nt
Filed under: uncultured bacterium
Lineage: Bacteria
Description: partial 16S ribosomal RNA
Rfam family: Bacterial small subunit ribosomal RNA
Source: RNAcentral
GAUGAACGCUGACAGAAUGCUUAACACAUGCAAGUCGAUGGGGAAGUGGUGCUUGCACCAUGGUAACCAUGGCGGACGGGUGAGUAACGCGUAAGGAACUUGCCUGCGGGACUGGGAUAACAGCAGGAAACUGCUGAUAAUACCGGAUAAGGUCAUUAAGCUGCAUAGCUUAGUGAUGAAAGGAGACGCCUGCGGAGAGCCUUGCGUCCUAUUAGCUAGUUGGAGGGGUAACGGCCCACCAAGGCGAAGAUAGGUAGCCGGCCUGAGAGGGUGGACGGCCACAAGGGGACUGAGAUACGGCCCUUACUCCUACGGGAGGCAGCAGUGGGGAAUAUUGGACAAUGGGGGCAACCCUGAUCCAGCAAUUCUGUGUGCACGAAGACGGUUUUCGGACUGUAAAGUGCUUUCAGCAGGGAAGAAGGAAGUGACGGUACCUGCAGAAGAAGCGACGGCUAAAUACGUG